RNA transcript from Felis catus (domestic cat), 3514 nucleotides. It is a transcript of the gene named acyl-CoA binding domain containing 5, with no coding region annotated. Lineage: Eukaryota; Metazoa; Chordata; Mammalia; Carnivora; Felidae. The record is from RefSeq and is a predicted model, not a curated record. The transcript has 15 exons.
GGCUCUGGGGCGGGGCUCUGGGGAGGGUGCGGACGGACCCACGGACCCUGUCGGGAUGGGGAGUGUGGCUGCUCCGCCAGGGUCCUGUGGGUGGGAGAGAGGCUCCGCGACCGCUGGUGGCCGGAGUCCCUCCGUGUUGUGCUAGAGAUGCUUUUCCUCUCGUUUCAUGCAGGCUCUUGGGAAAGCUGGUGCUGCUGCUGCCUGAUUCCAGCCGACAGAUCUUGGGACCGGGACCGGGGCCGGCGCUGGCGGCUGGAGAUGGCGGACACGAGAUCCGUGCACGAAACCAGGUUUGAGGCGGCGGUGAAGGUGAUCCAGAGUUUGCCGAAAAAUGGUUCAUUUCAGCCAACAAAUGAAAUGAUGCUCAAAUUCUAUAGCUUCUAUAAGCAGGCAACUGAAGGACCCUGUAAACUGUCGAGGCCUGGAUUCUGGGAUCCUAUUGGAAGAUAUAAAUGGGAUGCUUGGAGUUCACUGGGUGAUAUGACCAAAGAGGAAGCCAUGAUUGCAUAUGUUGAAGAAAUGAAAAAGAUUCUUGAAACUAUGCCGAUGACUGAGAAAGUUGAAGAGUUGCUACAUGUCAUAGGCCCAUUUUAUGAAAUUGUAGAAGACAAAAAGAGUAGCAAAAGUUCUGACUUAACCUCAGUCCGACUGGAGAAAAUCUCUAAAUACUUAGAAGAUCUUGGUAACGUUCUGACUUCUACUCCAAACGCCAAAACUGUUAAUGGUAAAGCCGAAAGCAGUGAUAGUGGAGCUGAGUCUGAGGAAGAAGAGGCCCAAGAAGAAGUGAAAGGAGCGGAACAAAGUGCUAAUGAUAAGAAAAUGAUGAAGAAAUCUGCAGAUCAUAAGAAUUUGGAAAUCAUUGUUACUAAUGGCUAUGAUAAAGACACCUCCACUCAGGAUAUACAGAAUGACAUUCAUGCCAGUGCUUCCUUGAGUGGGAAAAAUGCUGAAGAAAUAAAGGCUGUAGAUGAAAAUUUGGAGCAAACUGGAAAAACUGCUGUCUGCAUUCACCAAGAGAUAAAUGAUGAUCAUGUUGAAGAUAUUUCAGGAAUUCAGCAUUUGACAAGUGAUUCAGACAGUGAGGUCUACUGUGAUUCCAUGGAACAGUUUGGACAAGAAGAGUCUUUAGACAGCUUUACGUCAAACGGCAGACCAUUUCGAUAUUACUUGAGUGGUGAUCCCAAUCAGCCCUUGGAAAGUCCUGGUUUUCCUGAAGAUGUUCAAGGAUCUCCGGGAAAUGGCAACAUUGGGGAUAUGCAGGUUGUAGCAGUUGAAGGAAAAGGUGAAGUAAAGCAUGGAGGAGAAGAUGGCCGAAGUAACAGUGGAGCACCACACCGUGAGAGACGGGGUGGAGAAAAUGAGGAAUUCUCUAAUGUCAGAAGAGGGAGAGGGCAUAGAAUGCAACACUUGAGUGAAGGAUCCAAGGGUCGGCAAGUGGGAAGUGGAGGUGAUGGGGAACGCUGGGGCUCAGACAGAGGGUCAAGAGGCAGCCUCAAUGAACAGAUUGCUCUCGUCCUCAUGCGCCUGCAGGAGGAUAUGCAGAACGUCCUUCAGAGACUUCAUAAACUGGAAACGCUAACUGCUUCGCAGGCAAAAUCAUCAACAUUACAGACCAGUCAUCAGCCUCCCUCACAGAGACCAUCUUGGUGGCCCUUCGAGAUGUCUCCUGGUGCAUUAACUUUUGCUAUCGUAUGGCCUUUUAUUGCCCAGUGGUUGGUGCAUUUGUAUUAUCAAAGAAGGAGAAGGGAGGUGUACAUAAAGAGGAUUUCUACAGAGGAUAAGGGAUGAUCUGAUUACUUAAAAUAUCACUCCUGCCCAAGGGGGUUGCAUAAGAGCAUUUCUGCGAAGAAAACUGAACUGAAGAAAAUGGUAUUUUACUCCAGAAGAUUACUGGGCCUGGAUGACCUCAGAAUGAAAUGGAAUGUGGAACCCACAAGAGUAUCUUAACUGUUUGUGAUGAUUACACUUCUUUUUGUCGUCCAGUAGUUUGGUUUGUGUACAUAUAUACAUAUAUAUAUUUUGCACUACACAAAUACAACAUUUUAAGGACUAAUAUUGCUGAUACUUGAAUAACUAAUCUCAACUAGGCUACAAGUAGCAUACAUAGACUUACCCUACCCUUAAACUUGAAGGACAUUAAAUUAUUAAUGAUUGUUUGGUAACACGUUUACCUGAUUAUCUCCCAUAGAGAACUAUAAGCUGCUUUUCCAAGGUACAGUUGUGAUAAUGAGAUCAGAUUUAUAACUGGAUAUUUUUAAUUUUCUAAAUUAAAUAUGAGAAAGAAUGCAAACCAGGAGUGAACUUCAGAUGAGUUAAAUCAACUUUCUAUCCUAGUCACUGAAUUGCCAUGCCAAGGAGCAGAAAACUGCUGGAAGAAUCUUCUCUACGUCCACUUUGUGAGCUGCCCGUAAUUUCUCUUGGGCAUUCACAGCGCUGACUUGAGUGUUCAGGCGUCAUUACUACAAAGUAGAGCCCUGUGUACCAGGCUUACUUUUUACAGAUGAACACAGAAUAGACAUAACCUGCUGAUGGGAAUGAUGAAUGGGCUUCAAGUAGGUCUGAAAGUAUACUCUGAGCCUGUAGAUCAUUGAUAAGAUUUUAUUCAACCGUAUACAUUUAUUUCUUUGUAAUCAUUUUUCUUUAACUGAGGAUAUCUUGUUUCUGCUUCAUAGGGUGCUUUGAAAUAUAAGAUGAAAACUUAUUUAUACUGUUUUUACAAAGGUCAAAAAAGGAAACACAUGAAAAUCACUUUUCUGUAACUGGUAAACUACACAGACUGGACUCUCAACCUCCUAGUGCCUCCGUUUUUCCUUUGGGGUAUAAUCUUUGAGAUACACCUAUUUCACAGGGGUCAUGGAAGGAUUUGCAAGCUAGCGGGCCAUAUGCUUCCAUAUGAAUAAGGCACAUCCAACUAAUGUAAACUUAAAUGUCCUUCCCCCAGCUCCCAUUUAGAACUAAAAAAAAAAGACUGCAAUUUAGAUCCUUGAAGGCUUUGUUUGGAAUUAUUCUUCUUGUAUGUCUUCCAGAACUUCACUCAUUUAGAUGUCCCUUGUACUUUAAAGAUUCCUUUCAUUCGAAGGCGUAGUAGCAAAUAAUUUUUAAGCAUUCUUGGUAUGUGUGAUGUUGGGUUAAGCAUCAUGUGUUCAGAGUGUUUUCAAUAAGAAAGAAACCCAUCCCUCGCAUAGAGGAUGGUUCUGUGUUUGCCUGAAGAAAAAAAGUGUAAGAAUACAAUUUGCUUUCCUCAAGAAUCUUUUUUCCUUAUUUUUUUCUUUCAUGUAACUUGGUGUUUUUUAUUUUUAAUCACAUCUUGAUUAAAAUGUGUCUAUCUAAUAUUUGCUUUUUAAAAACUGUCCUCUAUUUAUUUAGGGGGAAAAUGAAGCAAGUAACUGAAUUAUAUGUAAAAAUAAGGUUCAGACCUGUGGAUCAGGGAUUAUUUUAAAAAAUUAGAUAUCAAUUUGGUAUCAGAAAAUGGUGGCUUUUCUCUUAGUAAAUAAAUAAAUUAAAUGCAAAUUAA